This 496-nucleotide ribosomal RNA is filed under the name uncultured bacterium. Its description in RNAcentral is "partial 16S ribosomal RNA". It matches the Rfam family "Bacterial small subunit ribosomal RNA", at positions 28 to 507 of the family's 1533-position model. The record is from RNAcentral.
GAUGAACGCUGGCGGCGUGCCUAAUACAUGCAAGUCGAGCGAACAGAUGAGGAGCUUGCUCCUCUGACGUUAGCGGCGGACGGGUGAGUAACACGUGGAUAACCUACCUAUAGACUGGGAUAACUUCGGGAAACCGGAGCUAAUACCGGAUAAUAUAUUGAACCGCAUGGUUCAAUAGUGAAAGACGGUUUUGCUGUCACUUAUAGAUGGAUCCGCGCCGCAUUAGCUAGUUGGUAAGGUAACGGCUUACCAAGGCAACGAGGCGUAGCCGACCUGAGAGGGUGAUCGGCCACACUGGAACUGAGACACGGUCCAGACUCCUACGGGAGGCAGCAGUAGGGAAUCUUCCGCAAUGGGCGAAAGCCUGACGGAGCAACGCCGCGUGAGUGAUGAAGGUCUUCGGAUCGUAAAACUCUGUUAUUAGGGAAGAACAAAUGUGUAAGUAACUAUGCACGUCUUGACGGUACCUAAUCAGAAAGCCACGGCUAACUACGUG